CCCUUAGAUGUCCUGGGCCGCACACGCGCUACACUGAAGGAGGCAGCGUGUACUCCUGGAUCGAAAGAUUUGGGUAACCCGCGAAUCUCCUUCGUGCUAGGGAUUGAGGUUUGCAAUUAUCCUUCAUGAACGAGGAAUUCCCAGUAAGUGCAAGUCAUAAGCUUGCGCUGACUACGUCCCUGCCCUUUGUACACACCGCCCGUCGCUACUACCGAUUGAAUGAUUUAGUGAGGACUUCGGACUGGGACCGAUGCGGCUUUCGGGCUGCGUCGGUAUUCUGGAAAGAUGUCCAAACUGUAUCAUUUAGAGGAAGUAAAANUCGUANCA
RNAcentral lists this ribosomal RNA (327 nucleotides) under uncultured eukaryote. RNAcentral describes it as "partial 18S ribosomal RNA". It matches the Rfam family "Eukaryotic small subunit ribosomal RNA", at positions 1470 to 1796 of the family's 1831-position model. The record is from RNAcentral.